Molecule: ribosomal RNA, 483 nt
Filed under: uncultured fungus
Lineage: Eukaryota; Fungi
Description: eukaryotic LSU rRNA
Rfam family: 5.8S ribosomal RNA (bases 128-281)
Source: RNAcentral
GCGGAAGGAUCAUUAGUGAUUUGGCCUCUGGCCUAAUACAUACAUCCCAUACCUCUGUGAACCUGUUUGGCCCUCGGGCCUCAUUUCAAACAUUGUGUAAUGAACGUGAUAUAAUGAUAAUCAAUAAAACUUUCAACAACGGAUCUCUUGGCUCUCGCAUCGAUGAAGAACGCAGCGAAAUGCGAUAAGUAAUGUGAAUUGCAGAAUUCAGUGAAUCAUCGAAUCUUUGAACGCAUCUUGCGCCUUUUGGUAUUCCGAAAGGCAUGCCUGUUUGAGUGUCAUGAAAUAUCAAUCCUCUGGGGUUUUUUCCUGGUUGAUUGGACAUGGGUGCUGCCAUUGUUGGCUCACCUUAAAAGCGUUAGUGGGUUAAUCCUCUGGCAUGGACGUAAUAAGUUUCGUCUGUCCGUUGGACUGUGCUCGCUCCCAACCCCCCAUAUUUUUAUCUCUGACCUCAAAUCAGGUAGGGCUACCCGCUGAACUUAA